RNAcentral lists this ribosomal RNA (490 nucleotides) under Zangia erythrocephala. RNAcentral describes it as "partial small subunit ribosomal RNA". It matches the Rfam family "Bacterial small subunit ribosomal RNA", at positions 349 to 865 of the family's 1533-position model. The record is from RNAcentral. Lineage: Eukaryota; Fungi; Basidiomycota; Agaricomycetes; Boletales; Boletaceae.
CAGCAGUCCAAAAUAUUAGUCAAUGCUCGCAAGAGUGAACUAGCUAACUGAAAUCUUAAUCUAAAUAUUAAGAUAAGGUAAGAGAAAAUAAUGAUAUUAUCUUACUAUUAGUGUCGUCUAAAUUUGGUGCCAGAAGACUCGGUAAGACCUUAGACGCAAACGUUAAUCGUCAUAAUCAGGCGUAAAGGGUGUGUAGGCUGCUUUAAAAAAUAUAAUAAAUAAUAUAAUUAUUAUAGCAAAAAAAUUAUAUUUUAAUAAAAGCUAGAAUCUAAAAGAGGGUAAGCUAAACAACAUAAUUAACUGGGACUGACAACUUAUAAUAAUGUGGAGUACUAAAGGUUAAAGCUAUUUAUCUACUGAAGAUUGACGCUGAGAAACGAAGGGGAGAAUAAGAAACUUAGAUUAGAGACCUAAUUAUCUCUCUCAGUCAACGAUGAAUGGUAGUUAUUAAAAAUUUUAUAAUUUUAGUAACGAGGUUAACACGAUGACC